UGUCUGUCUGAGUGUCG
RNAcentral lists this ribosomal RNA (17 nucleotides) under Zoanthus praelongus. RNAcentral describes it as "partial 5.8S rRNA". Lineage: Eukaryota; Metazoa; Cnidaria; Anthozoa; Zoantharia; Zoanthidae. RNAcentral also lists the same sequence under 1 other name. The record is from RNAcentral.